UCUAGAACUUGAGAUAUGGGCUAAACACUGAAUAGUGUCUGGGCUGCAGGACAAAUUCCGACUUCUCCGUUGUUGCUACCAUUUGAACUUGAAAAUGACACUUUUAAAUCUUGGACUCUUCAUGAAAGUUUUAGGCCUAUGUCUUAGCUUUGCAUA
Populus trichocarpa (black cottonwood) is the source of this 156-nucleotide non-coding RNA. The record is from Rfam. NCBI's taxonomy places the organism in Eukaryota, Viridiplantae, Streptophyta, Magnoliopsida, Malpighiales, Salicaceae.